Molecule: ribosomal RNA, 491 nt
Filed under: uncultured bacterium
Lineage: Bacteria
Description: bacterial SSU rRNA
Rfam family: Bacterial small subunit ribosomal RNA
Source: RNAcentral
GGCUCAGAUUGAACGCUGGCGGCAUGCCUUACACAUGCAAGUCGAACGGCAGCACGGGAGCAAUCCUGGUGGCGAGUGGCGAACGGGUGAGUAAUAUAUCGGAACGUGCCCAGUAGUGGGGGAUAGCCCGGCGAAAGCCGGAUUAAUACCGCAUACGAUCUAUGGAUGAAAGCGGGGGAUCGCAAGACCUCGCGCGAUUGGAGCGGCCGAUAUCAGAUUAGGUAGUUGGUGGGGUAAAGGCUCACCAAGCCGACGAUCUGUAGCUGGUCUGAGAGGACGACCAGCCACACUGGGACUGAGACACGGCCCAGACUCCUACGGGAGGCAGCAGUGGGGAAUUUUGGACAAUGGGCGAAAGCCUGAUCCAGCCAUGCCGCGUGCAGGAUGAAGGCCUUCGGGUUGUAAACUGCUUUUGUACGGAACGAAAAGGUUUGACUUAAUACGUUGGACUCAUGACGGUACCGUAAGAAUAAGCACCGGCUAACUACGUG